AGCCUGAUCAGCCAUACCGCGUGGGUGAAGAAGGCCUUCGGGUUGUAAAGCCCUUUUGUUGGGAAAGAAAUCCAGCCGGCUAAUACCUGGUUGGGAUGACGGUACCCAAAGAAUAAGCACCGGCUAACUUCGUGCCAGCAGCCGCGGUAAUACGAAGGGUGCAAGCGUUACUCGGAAUUACUGGGCGUAAAGCGUGCGUAGGUGGUUGUUUAAGUCUGUUGUGAAAGCCCUGGGCUCAACCUGGGAACUGCAGUGGAAACUGGACAACUAGAGUGUGGUAGAGGGUAGCGGAAUUCCCGGUGUAGCAGUGAAAUGCGUAGAGAUCGGGAGGAACAUCCAUGGCGAAGGCAGCUACCUGGACCAACACUGACACUGAGGCACGAAAGCGUGGGGAGCAAACAGGAUUAGAUACCCUGGUAGUCCACGCCCUAAACGAUGCGAACUGGAUGUUGGGUGCAAUUUGGCACGCAGUAUCGAAGCUAACGCGUUAAGUUCGCCGCCUGGGGAGUACGGUCGCAAGACUGAAACUCAAAGGAAUUGACGGGGGCCCGCACAAGCGGUGGAGUAUGUGGUUUAAUUCGAUGCAACGCGAAGAACCUUACCUGGCCUUGACAUGUCGAGAACUUUCCAGAG
Molecule: ribosomal RNA, 633 nt
Filed under: Stenotrophomonas sp. So3Pt_86
Lineage: Bacteria; Pseudomonadati; Pseudomonadota; Gammaproteobacteria; Lysobacterales; Lysobacteraceae
Description: bacterial SSU rRNA
Rfam family: Bacterial small subunit ribosomal RNA
Source: RNAcentral